CCUACGGGAGGCAGCAGUAGGGAAUCAUCCGCAAUGGGCGAAAGCCUGACGGUGCAACGCCGCGUGAGUGAGGAAGGUUUUCGGAUCGUAAAGCUCUGUUGUGAGGGAAGAACAGCUUCAGGAGGAAAUGCCUAAAGUCUGCCGGUACCUCACCAGAAAGCCACGGCUAACUACGUGCCAGCAGCCGCGGUAAUACGUAGGUGGCAAGCGUUGUCCGGAAUUAUUGGGCGUAAAGGGCACGCAGGCAGUGAGGCAAGUCUGAUGUGAAAGGCCGGCGCUCAACGCCGGAAUGGCAUUGGAAACUGCCUGACUUGAGUACAGAAGAGGAGAGUGGAAUUCCACGUGUAGCGGUGAAAUGCGUAGAGAUGUGGAGGAACACCAGUGGCGAAGGCGACUCUCUGGUCUGUGACUGACGCUGAGGUGCGAAAGCGUGGGGAGCGAACAGGAUUAGAUACCCUGGUAGUCCACGCCGUAAACGAUGAGUGCUAGGUGUUAGGGGUUUCGAUACCCGUAGUGCCGAAGCAAACGCAAUAAGCACUCCGCCUGGGGAGUNGGACCGCAAGGUUGAAACUCAAAUGAAUUGACGGGG
This 589-nucleotide ribosomal RNA is filed under the name uncultured Bacillota bacterium. RNAcentral describes it as "bacterial SSU rRNA". It matches the Rfam family "Bacterial small subunit ribosomal RNA", at positions 338 to 918 of the family's 1533-position model. The record is from RNAcentral. Lineage: Bacteria; Bacillati; Bacillota.